UACGGAGGGAGCUAGCGUUGUUCGGAAUUACUGGGCGUAAAGCGCACGUAGGCGGCUUUGUAAGUUAGAGGUGAAAGCCCGGGGCUCAACUCCGGAACUGCCUUUAAGACUGCAUCGCUUGAAUCCAGGAGAGGUGAGUGGAAUUCCGAGUGUAGAGGUGAAAUUCGUAGAUAUUGGGAAGAACACCGGUGGCGAAGGCGGCUAUCUGGACCGACAUUGACGCUGAGGCGCGAAAGCGUGGGGAGCAAACAGG
RNAcentral lists this ribosomal RNA (253 nucleotides) under uncultured bacterium. RNAcentral describes it as "partial 16S ribosomal RNA". It matches the Rfam family "Bacterial small subunit ribosomal RNA", at positions 524 to 776 of the family's 1533-position model. The record is from RNAcentral.